UUACUCUGCCACCGAAUACAUUAGCAUGGGAUAAUGGAAUAGGACCCUGUCCUCCUAUUUUCAGUUGGUUUUGGCAGCGCGAGGACUAGGGUAAUGAUUAAUAGGGAUAGUUGGGGGCAUUAAUAUUUAAUUGUCAGAGGUGAAAUUCUUGGAUUUAUGAAAGAUUAACUUCUGCGAAAGCAUCUGCCAAGGAUGUUUUCAUUAAUCAAGAACGAAAGUUAGGGGAUCGAAGACGAUCAGAUACCGUCGUAGUCUUAACCAUAAACGAUGCCGACCAGCGAUUAGGAGACGUUGAAUACAAAACACCACCAUCGGCGCGGUCGUCCUUGGCUGGUCGUCCCUCACGGGGCGGCCGGCGGGGGCGGCUUAGCCCGAUGGCACCGGUGAAUGACUCCC
RNAcentral lists this ribosomal RNA (396 nucleotides) under Acanthamoeba sp. RNAcentral describes it as "SSU rRNA". It matches the Rfam family "Eukaryotic small subunit ribosomal RNA", at positions 784 to 1079 of the family's 1831-position model. The record is from RNAcentral. Lineage: Eukaryota; Discosea; Longamoebia; Acanthamoebidae.